Molecule: ribosomal RNA, 1272 nt
Filed under: Coxiella endosymbiont of Amblyomma scalpturatum
Lineage: Bacteria; Pseudomonadati; Pseudomonadota; Gammaproteobacteria; Legionellales; Coxiellaceae
Description: bacterial SSU rRNA
Rfam family: Bacterial small subunit ribosomal RNA
Source: RNAcentral
GGAUAACCCGAGGAAACUCAGGCUAAUACCGCAUAAUCUCUUCGGAGCAAAGCGGGGGAUCUUCGGACCUCGUGCUAUAAGAUGAGCCUGCGUCGGAUUAGCUAGUUGGUGGGGUAAUGGCUUACCAAGGUGACGAUCCGUAGCUGGUCUGAGAGGACGAUCAGCCACACUGGGACUGAGACACGGCCCAGACUCCUACGGGAGGCAGCAGUGGGGAAUAUUGGACAAUGGGGGAAACCCUGAUCCAGCAAUGCCGCGUGUGUGAAGAAGGCCUUCGGGUUGUAAAGCACUUUCAGUAGGGAAGAAAUUCUCAAGGCUAAUACCUUUGAGCAUUGACGUUACUUACAGAAGAAGCACUGGCUAACUCUGUGCCAGCAGCCGCGGUAAUACAGAGAGUGCAAGCGUUAAUCGGAAUCACUGGGCGUAAAGCGCGCGUAGGUGGAUAUUUGAGUCGGAUGUGAAAGCCCUGGGCUUAACCUGGGAAUUGCGUCCGAUACUGGGUAUCUCGAGUAUGGUAGAGGGAAGUGGAAUUUCCGGUGUAGCGGUGAAAUGCGUAGAUAUCGGAAAGAACACCAGUGGCGAAGGCGGCUUCCUGGAACAAUACUGACACUGAGGCGCGAAAGCGUGGGGAGCAAACAGGAUUAGAGACCCUGGUAGUCCACGCUGUCAACGAUGAGAACUAUGUUGGGGAGUUUACUUUCUAGUAGCGAAGCUAACGCGUUAAGUUCUCCGCCUGGGGAGUACGGCCGCAAGGUUAAAACUCAAAGAAAUUGACGGGGGCCCGCACAAGCGGUGGAGCAUGUGGUUUAAUUCGAUGCAACGCGAAAAACCUUACCUACCUUUGACAUCCUCGGAACUUGUCAGAAAUGAUUUGGUGCCUUCGGGAGCCGAGUGACAGGUGCUGCAUGGCUGUCGUCAGCUCGUGUCGUGAGAUGUUGGGUUAAGUCCCGUAACGAGCGCAACCCUCGUCCUUAGUUGCCAGCGGUUUGGCCGGGAACUCUAAGGAAACUGCCGGUGAUAAACCGGAGGAAGGUGGGGACGAUGUCAAGUCAUCAUGGCCUUUACGGGUAGGGCUACACACGUGCUACAAUGGGCAGUACAAAGGGUUGCCAAACCGUGAGGUGGAGCUAAUCCCAAAAAGCUGUUCGUAGUCCGGAUUGGAGUCUGCAACUCGACUCCAUGAAGCUGGAAUCGCUAGUAAUCGCGAAUCAGAAUGUCGCGGUGAAUACGUUCUCGGGCCUUGUACACACCGCCCGUCACACCAUGGAAGUG